Long non-coding RNA from Salvia hispanica, 543 nucleotides. RefSeq lists it as uncharacterized. The record is from RefSeq and is a predicted model, not a curated record. Lineage: Eukaryota; Viridiplantae; Streptophyta; Magnoliopsida; Lamiales; Lamiaceae.
CAUCUCUUUCUUCCGAUAAACACGAAUCCGCACCCCUAUUUCUCCUCUCGCGAUUUCUGGAAUUCGCAGAUCGUAUUUGGACACACCGGACAUAAGGCAUCAUUAUAUGGAUAAAGCAGAACCCAAGAAGGAACUCAGUGAGGAUUCGACUCGUGAAUCAUUGAUUGCGCUCUCUUAUAGAGUACCUGAGAACGAACAACCUGCUGCAGCGUCUCCUAAAAAUACCAGUGGCGAGAACGGUUGUGGCAGCCCACACUUUGAUGGAAAAGAGAAGCUUAGGACUGAGCUGAUUUCCAUCUCCUAUUCAUCGUCACCCGAUAUGGAAGUCCGGCCGCUGUCACCUGUGGAGUUUGAUGGUUAACGUUCGCUACAGCUUCAACCGCCAAAAGUUGCAAACAACUUUUCUUCUGUGUGAUUUUCUAUGUAAUAAUGAUUUGUGUUGCAAAACUUGUAACAUCAACAGCUCUUUUGUUCAAUAGAGUGAACAUGUUGUGGAUACUUGUAUUUUAACCCCCUUUUUAUACAGUCAUUAUUAGAACUGAA